Long non-coding RNA from Brienomyrus brachyistius, 959 nucleotides. RefSeq lists it as uncharacterized. The transcript has 4 exons. The record is from RefSeq and is a predicted model, not a curated record. Lineage: Eukaryota; Metazoa; Chordata; Actinopteri; Osteoglossiformes; Mormyridae.
UAUCGGUUCCAUGGAGCGUCACGGCGGAGGGAGAGUGUCUCAAAAAACGAAAAUAUAAAAUGCAUUUCACCACAGAUUACACAAAAACGUGUCCUUGUUUAAUAAGGAUGACAAAUAAUGACAAUGUUACGCGCUGAACUGUUUGCAACAGUGAUUUCAGCAUUGCUCAUGACGGUUUAAACGACUGUAAAAGGUACGUCCAGGAAGGCUCACAUCCAACCGAACACCGUGACCCCAGAGCUAAGCUGACAUGUACCCAAACACCCUGAUCGCAGAGUUAUGCUGUCAUCUACUCAGAUGCCCUAAUUCCAAAGGCUCCUUGAUCCCAGUGGUAAGCUGCCGUCUACCGAAACACCCUGAUCACAGAGGCAAAGCACUGUCCGCCCAAACACCCUGAUCCCAGAUGUAGGCUGCCAUCCACGCAAACACAUUGUUCCCAGAAGUAAUCUGCCAUUCACCCAACCAUGCUGAUCCCAGAGGUAAACUACCUUCCAUCUAACCGCCUUGUUCUCUGGGGUAAGCUGACAUUUACCCAAAUACCCUGAUCCCAGAGGCAAGCUGCGGUCCACCCAAACACGCAGGCGCCUCAGGUAAGCUCACAUCCACCCAAAUGCCCUAACCCCAGAGGUAGGCUGCCUGUGACCCAGCCCCCUGACCCCUGAGGUAACCUCGCUUCCACCUAAACACUCUGAUCUCAGAGGCAAGCUGACAUUUGCCCAAACACCCUGAUCACAGAAAUAAGCUGCCAUCCACCUAAACGACCUACCCCCAGAGGUAAGCUGACAUCCAUCUAACUGCCUUGAUCCUAGGCUGCCCCAGUACGUCUAGGUGGUGACAAUCCAUCCUACAGGGUUGACAUGAUGUGCUUUCCUGAAGCACACAAAGGACACCUCGGGUUUUAUGAAGGUGUUAUGACAGUGUUUUAGCCCGACCCUUGUGCAGAGGUCGGAAGUCUGCGG